UUUCUCUCUCCAUACCACCCUGAACGUGCCCAAUCUCGUCUGAUCUCGGAAGCUAAGCAGGGUCGGGCCUGGUUAGUACUUGGAUGGGAGAAUU
Molecule: ribosomal RNA, 94 nt
Filed under: Marmota monax (woodchuck)
Lineage: Eukaryota; Metazoa; Chordata; Mammalia; Rodentia; Sciuridae
Source: RNAcentral